UGUCGCAGACACUAAAGCAGUCGGUCAUGUUUUUCUGUGUUCUGAUCAACGCUGAAUAAACUUGUAAAUAAUGCUCUCCUGACUGCAACUUUUGGCUGUGCAUUAUCUGCUGAUAGAGCGUGCAUGAGCUCUAGAAUGUGGCCAGAUAUUUUCUAGAAACUCAUGUCGCUGCGUGCCUACGGGAGGCCGAUGGAUCAUCCGGCAGACGGCUUGGGGGCCGUGAUGGACUUUAUCUCCCUGGCAGUACCCCAACAACAGGUUUCGGGCCCAGAUUCACAGCACUUACAGGAGAGUAAGACUGCGACAGACUGCGUUGAGAGGUAUGUGGAAGAAAAGCGAAAGUGAGGCUUUUCUGUUUGCCGAGGCAAGGGCCUUUGAACUCCGGCAGAUUAAUGGAUCUGGGAGCCGCGCCAAAGGCCUCAAGAUUUAUGGGCUGCCGAGAUAAGACAUCUUUGAAGUGAAUUAGACUCACGGCUCGAAUAGAAACCUGGAAUGGAGUUUUUCCAAGCUUCUGAGGCUGCUGAGUGCCCAAAGUUAAAUCGGCACAACUAUCAGACCUGGGCUGUGUGGUGUGAGAGCUUGCUGCGUCAGUUUGGAGUGUGGCAUACUGUGUCUGAAGCCCCUCCAGUUCCUCUGACAGAUAGAUGGAGGGCCGCUAAUUCGAAGGCCGUUGACAUAAUAGUCUUGUCCGUCUCUCUGGAGGAAAUUAAAACGUUAGCUGGCAAUGUGACUGCACGUAAUAUGUGGCAUGCUUUGAAGAUAGCCCAUCUGCCACUCAUCCCAGCCCAGAGUUUGACUGCAUCGGAGGUCCUGGCUGUUUCCCAGAAUGCGAGUGAAUGCAGGGAUGCCGAGGGCACCGGUUGCAAGCUGCAGGGGAGCUGACUGUCACGUCAUCCCAGGCAGCAUUCCAGCCUCCAGGGGGAGCCAAGGAGUCGGCAGCUGAGAGCUCUGUUUCUCAUGGGAACCAAGGUCAUCGCCUUUGCAGAGGCCGGAAAGGCAAAGGUAAACAGAGGCAGACGCCUGCAGAUGGCCAGAAGCAGAGGGAGGGUGAAGAGCCCAUGCCGGUGGAAAACAAAGUUUUGUUUGCUGGCACAGCCUCACUAAAGGCUAAAGGCAAGUCUGAUGGCCAGGAGCAGGGGGGCAAGCUGCAAAAGCCCACGCCGGUGGAAAACAAGGUUUUGCUUGCUGCAAAGGCUGCUCCAAAAGCCAAGGCCAGGUUUGUUGUUGAUUCAGGCUGUACCCGCCAUGUCUCAAAGGACCGCCACCUAUUUAUCUCCUUCAAACCUCAAGAAGGUGAGAUCCACCUGGCUGAUGGGAAGACGUUGCGAAUUGCAGGAGAAGGGACUGUGAAACUGGCAAGUCUGCGCACUACCAUCAAAGAUGUACUGUAUGUUCCAGGCGCUGCAGACAAUUUGCUCAGUGUCCCACAGUUGACUGGGCGUGGUUUUGAGAUUUCCUUCAAGAGGAGCGUCUGUGUCAUCAGAAAAGGCAAAGAGGACAUUUUGCAUGCAAAGUUUAUGGAUGGCUUGUUCUGUAUAACUUAUGAUGACAUUGGUGCUGUUGUGUCUAAUGCUGAUUCUUGUUGUGUUGCACAAACUAACAAAGUUCUUCAUGCAGGAUGCAUUCAUGAUGCACACAGAAGAUUUUGUCACAUGUCUUGGCAGGCGCUGGCCAAGAUGCCAGAGAUGGUUGAGGGUUUGAACAUCAAACCCUGUAAGUUUCACAUGAAAUGUGUAUCUUGUGCAGAGAACAAGGUGAAGGUUGCUCCAAAAGGCAAGGAGUCUAGCAGGCAGGCUUCCAAACCCUACCAGCUAGUGCACGCAGACCUGGUUGGUCCACUUGCACCCUCUUUGGGUGGAGCAAGGUACUUCAUGGUUCUAAUUGAUUCUUUUUCCAGGUACAUUCAUGUGUUUAUGCUCGAGCAGAAAUCGCAAGCGUUUCCUAAGUUCAAGGCAUUCUGUGCUUGGUUGGAGAAUGUUCACGGUAAACGUAUUGGCUGUCUGUUUACUGAUCGAGGCGGGGGUUCACUUCUCAGCAGUUUGAAGCUUUCCUGACUGAGAAGGGAAUCCAGCAUGACUUGUCAACGCCUAGAUCGCCAUGGAUGAAUGGGCUUGCAGAGCGAGCAAAUCAAACGUUGCUGCAAGGAAUGAAAACAUUGUUGCAUGAUGCCAAUCUCCCUGAUAAGUAUUGGGGGGAGGCUCUGUCAAAUUUUGUUUACACCUUUAAUCGCAGGUUGUCAUCACCUAUUGGUUGUACCCCCUAUGAGAAGAUGUUUGGUAAGAAACCCAACAUCAAGCACAUGAGAAUCUUUGGUUCUGACAUGUGGGUACACACCCCACAGAGCAACAAGCUUGGGAAGCGUGGGGCACAUGGUUUGUUCAUGGGGUACGAAAAAGGUGCAUACAGGGUAUGGAUGACCAACUCUAAGUCCAUUAAGUUCACAAAGAGUGUUGAGUACAAUCCUAAGUGGGGGGAAAAUGUGGGAAUUUUCCAGAGUUACCCAGAGGAGGAUGAAGGUGAUGUCAAAGAAGCAGCUAAAGCUGAGGAAGCUGCUGAGGAUGAUGAUGAUGAUGAUCAGAGUUCAGAUUCCAGUUCAGUGGGCGGCGCUGCUGCUGGUGUCAGUGACAGUGAUGACACAGCAGACUACAAGAGCGCAAAGGCCUCAGUCAGACCGUCUGAUGCGUCUGACAAUGAACUGGAAGAACCACUGUUCACCAUUGGUCACUUUUCUCCUAAGAAGGAGGAGAUGAGUCCAGAAGACUUGCGUCUAGUACGCAGAUCUGAGAGAGCAACCAAGGGCAGACCUCCAAAGAGAUUUGCUGAUGAGUUUGCUAAGACAGCAACUGCUGUUCUUAGUAGCUCAGAGAAGGUAUGGGAACCUUCAAGCUUCAAAGAGGUUCAGGAGUUAACCUCUAAAGAUGCUGAGCCUUGGCUUAAUGCCAUGAAGGCUGAAGUUGAUUCCUUGAAUAGGAACCAAACUUGGGAACUGGUACCGGUAGUCCCAGGGAUGAGACUGGUUGGCAGCAAAUGGGUCUUCAAGGCCAAGACAGACCAGAAUGGCAAGGUAGUCAGACACAAAGCCAGAUUGGUUGCCAGAGGUUUUUCACAGGUACCAGGACAGGAUUACCACGAGACCUACUCACCCACCGUCAAAUAUGAGAGCAUUCGGCUGAUGCUCAAGAUAGCUGCAGAGGAGAAACUGCAUGUUUCCCAUCAUGACAUUAAUACAGCUUUUUUGUACGGGGCUUUGGAGGAGGAGCUGUUUAUGCUUCCACCUGAUGGGAUGCAGAUACAGAAGGGAAUGGUCUGUAAACUGCGGAAAUCCUUAUAUGGUCUCAAGCAGAGUGCCAGGUGUUGGAACACAAAACUCACUGAGACGUUGCUUUCUCUAGGUUUUCACCAGGGCAAAGCUGAUCCAUGUGUGUUUGUCAAGGAGGAGGGCAAAACAAACUGUAUUGUUUAUGUUUUGUUGAUGAUCUUCUGAUGUUUUGGAAGAAUCAGGCUUUCUACCAAAGCACCCUAGCUCAGCUGAAGGAGCACUUUGACAUGAAGGAUCUUGGUGAGGUAUCCAACUAUCUUUCUCUGCAGGUGGAGAGGGACCAAGCAGGUAAUUUUCUGGUACACCAAACACAGAAAAUUGCUGAUGUAUUAACCAGGUUGAAUUUGGUUGAUGCAAACCCAGCAGACACACCGAUGGUGACAGGUUACCAGGUAGACAGUACUGCUGAAGCGUUUUCUGACACAACGCUGUACAGAUGCAUUCUAGGCAAGUUGAAUUUCAUUGCUAGAUGCUCAAGACCUGACAUAGCUGUAAGCACUAACCUGCUUAGCAGACAUGCCAACAAUCCUACUGUUCAGGAUUGGAAAGCUCUGAAGCGCAUAGCCCGCUAUUUGAAAGGGACUUUGCACUACAGGCUGAGGUUCACCAGUCAGAAGACUGGAGGUCUUGAAAUCUUUGCAGAUGCAAGUUUUGGAAGUGACACCACGGAUGGUACAAGCACUUCUGGAGUAUGCUACAUGUACAACCACUGUCUGUUUGACUGGCUGUGCAAGAAGCAGACGACAGUGAGCCUAAGUUCCUGUGAAGCAGAACUCAAUGCUCUGUCAUUUUCACUCAUGGAUUGUGAAUGGUUGAUGCAACUGUUUAAGGACAUCAGAGUUUCUGUGAAAUGUCCUGUACAAGUGUAUCAAGACAAUAGAUCGUGUUUGGCUUUGCUGAACUCGGAGAGUUGCAAGCAAAGGACCAAGUACUUGCAGAUUAAGCUACAUCGUGCAAGAGAGUGUAUUCAGAAAGGACUCAUUCAGGUGUCCUACAUGCCAGGAAAUGAAAUUCCUGCUGAUCUGUUGUCUAAGGUUGUUAACAGAGAACAACUUAAGGUUUACGUACAAAGGUUGCAAUUGGGUUGAACCACAGGUACUACAGGUUACACGGAAAGGGGGAGGAUGUUAGGAUAUUUCCGUUCCACCUUAAAAGGGAGCAGGCUUUGUGAGACAGAGUCUGCGUAUUUCCUGUUCACAGGAUGUUUAUGUUUUCUGUUGCUUUCGUUUUCUCUCUGUUGUCGCAGACACUAAAGCAGUCGGUCAUGUUUUUCUGUGUUCUGAUCAACGCUGAAUAAACUUGUAAAUAAUGCU
RNAcentral lists this long non-coding RNA (4632 nucleotides) under Podarcis lilfordi (Lilford's wall lizard). The record is from RNAcentral. Lineage: Eukaryota; Metazoa; Chordata; Lepidosauria; Squamata; Lacertidae.